GGCGAGGCCGAAAGGCGUAGUCGAUGGGAAACGGGUUAAUAUUCCCGUACUUCUUACAAUUGCGAUGGGGGGACGGAGAAGGCUAGGUGGGCCUGGCGACGGUUGUCCAGGUUCAAGUGCGUAGGCUUAAGAGUUAGGUAAAUCCGGCUCUUUUUAAGGCUGAGACACGACGUCGAGCACCUACGGGUGUGAAGUCAUUGAUGCCAUGCUUCCAGGAAAAGCCUCUAAGCUUCAGAUUGUAAGGAAUCGUACCCCAAACCGACACAGGUGGUCGGGUAGAGAAUACCAAGGCGCUUGAGAGAACUCGGGUGAAGG
Molecule: ribosomal RNA, 315 nt
Filed under: Vibrio sp. S512-13
Lineage: Bacteria; Pseudomonadati; Pseudomonadota; Gammaproteobacteria; Vibrionales; Vibrionaceae
Description: bacterial LSU rRNA
Rfam family: Bacterial large subunit ribosomal RNA
Source: RNAcentral